This is a non-coding RNA of Prunus mume (Japanese apricot), 166 nucleotides long. Lineage: Eukaryota; Viridiplantae; Streptophyta; Magnoliopsida; Rosales; Rosaceae. The record is from RefSeq and is a predicted model, not a curated record.
AACUGGUCCCUGGAGAAAGAUGCUCUCCUCUAAGGACAUUAAUUUUGUGGGCUACACAUAUAAAAACUUCGAAAUCGUUAACGAUUAUCAAGUGCCUGGGAUGGCCUCGUUGAAGAAGAAAAGCACCAAACCAAAGAGACCGUCCGUAAAAACACUAUUUGGUAAA